Molecule: ribosomal RNA, 444 nt
Filed under: uncultured bacterium
Lineage: Bacteria
Description: SSU rRNA
Rfam family: Bacterial small subunit ribosomal RNA
Source: RNAcentral
AGAACGAACGCUGGCGGCAGGCCUAACACAUGCAAGUCGAACGCGACCUUCGGGUCGAGUGGCGCACGGGUGAGUAACGCGUGGGAAUCUGCCCUGUGGUACGGAAUAACAUCGGGAAACUGGUGCUAAUACCGUAUAUCCCCUGAGGGGGAAAGAUUUAUCGCCAUGGGAGGAGCCCGCGUAGGAUUAGCUAGUUGGUGAGGUAACGGCUCACCAAGGCGACGAUCCUUAGCUGGUCUGAGAGGAUGAUCAGCCACACUGGGACUGAGAUACGGCCCAGACUCCUACGGGAGGCAGCAGUGGGGAAUAUUGGACAAUGGGGGAAACCCUGAUCCAGCCAUGCCGCGUGUGUGAUGAAGGCCUUCGGGUUGUAAAGCACUUUCGCACGUGACGAUGAUGACGGUACGUGAGAAGAAGCCCGGCUAACUUCGUGCCAGCAGCCGC